The sequence is a transfer RNA, 74 nucleotides long. It matches the Rfam family "tRNA". From Rfam's summary of the family: Transfer RNA (tRNA) molecules are approximately 80 nucleotides in length. Their secondary structure includes four short double-helical elements and three loops (D, anti-codon, and T loops). Further hydrogen bonds mediate the characteristic L-shaped molecular structure. tRNAs have two regions of fundamental functional importance: the anti-codon, which is responsible for specific mRNA codon recognition, and the 3' end, to which the tRNAs corresponding amino acid is attached (by aminoacyl-tRNA synthetases). tRNAs cope with the degeneracy of the genetic code in two manners: having more than one tRNA (with a specific anti-codon) for a particular amino acid; and 'wobble' base-pairing, i.e. permitting non-standard base-pairing at the 3rd anti-codon position. The record is from Rfam.
AGGGAUGUAGCACAGCUUGGUAGUGCAUUUUAUUUGGUUACAAAACUUUACUGGUUCAAAUCCUACCAUCGCUA